RNAcentral lists this long non-coding RNA (1018 nucleotides) under Cyanistes caeruleus (blue tit). RNAcentral's name for it is "lncRNA (ENSCCEG00000017356.1)". The record is from RNAcentral. Lineage: Eukaryota; Metazoa; Chordata; Aves; Passeriformes; Paridae.
CUUAAGCUCUAGGUUGUGUUUGAUUUUGUAAUCGAAGCAGCUUUUCAGGGAGGUGGCUCUUCAGGCUGCUAAUGACAGUUUUAUUUGCUUUUGCAGGGCAAGCUGGAGCUGGCCAGUAGUCCAAGUCCUCAAAGUGCAAGGACACCAGCAAGAAAUGGGCCAGAAGGAAGCACAAGGGAGUUUGAUGCAGUCCCUUAUGUUUGUCUUGAAAUGCUUGGAAGGAAUGGCUACUUUGGCAACAAUACUUCGGUGCAGGCAGUGCUAUCCUUAAAUUUUUUCUGCUUAAGAAAGUGUUCAAAGAACUUGAUGCUUUCAGUGGUGGCUUUCUGACCUUGUGGGUACAGCUUGGAGCUAUGCUGCAGAACAUCCCCUGUGAGCUGAUAUGGAUUUCUUUUUUCCUAGAGGGAAACUCAGCUGUGCCUGGGGAAAACUAGAGCCACUACUGCAGACAGACAGAGAGACACGGCAGAAAGACAAGCAUUUUGAGAGCACAGUUAAUUAUGAAGUUACCAGGACGUUUUCCAUCUGUUUCUGCAAUGAAGCCUUUCAGUCAUGAACCUACAGGAAUGAGGGGAGUUCUUCAAUUGUGGCUUGUGAACAAGACUUCAGUGAGUUUGAGUCUAUGGGAGGAUCCUGGAUUAUUCCACUGUUUGAACCAAGUGAUGAUAAAAACUGGGCACAGUGCCAUUGCAAUAUAUACUGCAUCCUGAAGGACACUUUUGGAAGACUGUGGUGUACGAUCAUAUCAUAUUCACAUUCAGACUUGAAAUGAGCAGCAGUUUGCAUUUUUGCCUGUUUUACAUCAGUCCCUUUGAAAACUGAUUACCAGGUCCAAAGUGCUGCAAAACUGCAAAACCAGAACAGAUACUUCAGAAACUGCACUUCUACAACACAGUAUUCUUACAGUGAUAUUAGUGUACAGGAAAGGCACUUAAUCUCUUAAGUUUAGAUCUUCAAAAAUCAGCCUUUGUUUUGCAGCAGCUAUCAAUAAAGAAUGUGUGUCUGUUUCUCUGUUGCA